This is an RNA transcript of Hippocampus comes (tiger tail seahorse), 2392 nucleotides long. It is a transcript of the gene named UDP-GlcNAc:betaGal beta-1,3-N-acetylglucosaminyltransferase 9, with no coding region annotated. The transcript is spliced from 8 exons. The record is from RefSeq and is a predicted model, not a curated record. NCBI's taxonomy places the organism in Eukaryota, Metazoa, Chordata, Actinopteri, Syngnathiformes, Syngnathidae.
CAAGUUUUACCGGUGGUAUGAAGCAAAUGCAUCUGCUAUCUUUCAUCUUUAUAACUGUACUUGGUUUCUCUAACGUAUUUCGCGAUUCAAAAUUACUUACUAGCAAGGGAAAUGCAAUGCUUGCUCAAUCUGUUUCAGAAAGUUGAGUAGUAAAUGGCAUAUUUCCCAUAGCAUCUAAAGGCAACAUGAGCGCCAGUGUGGAGACGCAAUACGUCCAGAUGUUUCCAGUUUGUCCUACCUCCUCCGUCCGCUUUGGAUGCCCGUGCUGGGUCUGGAGAAGGAGAGCAAUGGAAAUAAAGGGUUGCCUUUCAGACUCUCACGGAAUAGAGAAAACAUACGUUUUGUUGGACAAAUGGUGAAGUCGUCCAAGCAGAGAUGCUUAAGAGAUCUCUUCCUACUUCACCCCCUGUUAAAUACGCGACUAAAGCCAGAAAAUGGUGACGCUGAGGAGAAGAGGGUGUUACAUAAAAGGAGACGUGAUGUGCACGUUGCUGCUACUGCUGCUCUUCUCCUUGUUGCUCUAUGUGCGACAGGUCCUUUUGUCCUCUGGGUGGGACAAGCCAGCAUGGAGUCUGGAAAUCCUUCGUCCCACCAGCCCCAGUCGGACCCUGCUAGGAUCCAACAGAGUCAGAGUGUCCCAGGAGCCCCUGCCGUAUGCAGCCAGCCCCUCUGAGCCUCAGCUACCUCUCUGUGAACACAAGUCAAAACGUCCUAAGCCCAAGUCCAAAGCUCAGUCUAAAUCCAAAGGAAAGUCCAAGUCUCGACAGAAGAGCAUCACACCGACCAAGACGAGCGGCGCGCCUGUGCCGACAUUGCCGCUGUUUGACUUUGUGCGCUAUAUGCGAGAGAAGGACAACCGCAACUUCCGUCUGCUAAUAGAUCAACCGCAGAAAUGUCAGCUGGGAGGAUCCGAACGAGCCGGAGAAAACCGCGAGCUUUACAUGCUCAUUGCAGUGAAAUCUGUUGCUGCAGAUUUUGAUAAGCGGCAGGUGGUACGUCGGACCUGGGGUAAAGAAGGCGGGUCUGUCCGCACCGUCUUCCUGUUGGGGGUGCCCAAGAAUCGCACUGCCUUACCUCUGUGGGAUCAGCUGCUGACCUACGAGAGUCAAACCUUCGAGGACAUUCUUCUGUGGGACUUUGAGGACACCUUCUUCAACUUGACCUUAAAGGAAACGCACUUUCUGGAAUGGGUCAACCACACCUGUCCUCACGUCAAGUUCAUCUUCAAAGGGGAUGCCGAUGUUUAUGUGAACGUGGAGAACAUACUGGAGAUGCUUCAAGGUGAAAAGUCAAAUGAGGAUCUUUUCAUUGGCGAUAUAAUCGUCAACGCCAAACCCAUUCGGCGCCGCACUUCCAAGUACUACGUGCCAGAGUAUGUGUACGGCAGUGCUUUGUACCCGUCUUAUGCCGGGGGAGGAGGCUUCGUCAUGUCCGGGCAUACAGCGCGGAGGCUCAGCGUCUCCUGUCAACAAGUCGAGCUGUUCCCCAUCGAUGACGUGUUCCUGGGAAUGUGCCUCCAGCUGCUUGGAAUCAAGCCAUUGCGUCACCAAGGUUUUCGGACCUUCGGCAUUCCCCGUCCAUCGGCGGCACCUCACCUCCAGACGUUCGACCCGUGUUUUUACCGGGAGCUCAUGGUGGUUCACAGCCUCAGCGUGCCCCAGAUAUGGCUCAUGUGGAAGUUGUUGAAUGACCCCAAACUGAACUGUCACAACAGGUCCAGAUCAACAACCGGACCCUUCAGGUGGAGGACUGGAGAUUCAAAAGGGGAGGGGGAGACUGACUAUGAUGAGAAGGGAGUGUUUGUCACACACGAUUAACACCCUGCGGGGAAGACGUGGUCAAAUUUGAAAGGGCCGAGAUCCGAAGCACAGUCACGUGACACCUCAUCCCAAGUUGGCAGACCGACGAGAUGAGCAGACAUGCUUCUGUAUUUUUCCCCCCUGCGUUAAGGAGGCAUUAACGAAGGAUUCUAGCUUUUACUGCUCAAUGUGAUAUCAUUGUUCACAAAUGACUCACAUCAACUUUUUUUUUUGGUGAGAGUUGAUGUCAAACAACAGUCUUCAAUGUACUACAAAUGCGCUGUCAUGCAUACAUGAACGUGAGACGCUAAAAUGGAUGACAAAAUCUGGUUUACUUGAUUAAAUCUGUUCAAGUGUAAAGGUGACAAUAGCACUCAAAUAAUUAACGGGUUAAUUGUUUGUUGAGAACUGUAUCUUGUGAGGAUCUGAUUGUUGAUUAAUUGCAUAUGAAGGUGGGUCAGCCAAAAUGGUGUUUACCACUUAGCUGCAAACAACAGAGUUGACACGGGUUUAAAACUACCCAUAGUAUUGAGAUAAAGCUACUAUGAAAUGGGUUAGCAGGAUUUCCGUACACCUGUGGUUGAAAAAAAAAA